This 459-nucleotide ribosomal RNA is filed under the name uncultured bacterium. RNAcentral's name for it is "partial 16S ribosomal RNA". It matches the Rfam family "Bacterial small subunit ribosomal RNA", at positions 338 to 795 of the family's 1533-position model. The record is from RNAcentral.
CCUACGGGGGGCAGCAGUGAGGAAUAUUGGUCAAUGGGCGAGAGCCUGAACCAGCCAAGUCGCGUGAGGGAGUACUGCCCUAUGGGUUGUAAACCUCUUUUGUCGGGGAGCAAAAGCCGGACGUGUCCGGCUGUGAGAGUACCCGAAGAAAAAGCAUCUGCUAACUCCGUGCCAGCAGCCGCUGUAAUACGUAGGGAGCAAGCGUUAUCCGGAUUUACUGGGUGUAAAGGGCGAGUAGGCGGGCUGGCAAGGUGGGUGUGAAAUCCCGGGGGUUAACCCCGGAACUGCUUUCAAAACUGCUGGUCUUGAGUGAUGGAGAGGCAGGCGGAAUUCCGGGUGUAGCGGUGAAAUGCGUAGAUAUACGGAGGAACACCAGUGGCGAAGGCGGCCUGCUGGACAUCAACUGACGCUGAGGAGCGAAAGCGUGGGGAGCAAACAGGAUUAGAUACCCUAGUAGUC